GACGAACGCUGGCGGCGUGCUUAACACAUGCAAGUCGAACGGAAAGGCCCUGCUUUUGUGGGGUGCUCGAGUGGCGAACGGGUGAGUAACACGUGAGUAACCUGCCCUUGACUUUGGGAUAACUUCAGGAAACUGGGGCUAUUACCGGAUAGGAGCUCCUGCUGCAUGGUGGGGGUUGGAAAGUUUCGGCGGUUGGGGAUGGACUCGCGGCUUAUCAGCUUGUUGGUGGGGUAGUGGCUUACCAAGGCUUUGACGGGUAGCCGGCCUGAGAGGGUGACCGGCCACAUUGGGACUGCGAUACGGACCAGACUCCUACGGGAGGCAGCAGUGGGGAAUAUUGCACAAUGGGCGGAAGCCUGAUGCAGCAACGCCGCGUGCGGGAUGACGGCCUUCGGGUUGUAAACCGCUUUCGCCUGUGACGAAGCGUGCGUGACGGUAAUGGGUAAAGAAGCACCGGCUAACUACGUG
RNAcentral lists this ribosomal RNA (468 nucleotides) under uncultured bacterium. RNAcentral describes it as "partial 16S ribosomal RNA". It matches the Rfam family "Bacterial small subunit ribosomal RNA", at positions 28 to 507 of the family's 1533-position model. The record is from RNAcentral.